Molecule: long non-coding RNA, 349 nt
Filed under: Mus pahari (shrew mouse)
Lineage: Eukaryota; Metazoa; Chordata; Mammalia; Rodentia; Muridae
Description: lncRNA (MGP_PahariEiJ_G0002645.1)
Source: RNAcentral
AUUCCUGGAAGCAGCUUAGCCUGCCUCACCUGGAGCACCUGGGAGCCCCUGGAUCACCACCACACAGGCUUUGUGGGGUCGGAGUCCCUUGAAUUCACACAUGCUGUCUAAGUAAUUGGUUUUCCAGACUGUCAGCAAUGCUUCUUAAAGGCAGGGGAUUCUCUGUUCCUGAGAAAACAGUUCCCAGGCAAGCAAGGACAGACAGAAGGCAGCAGACAGGACCUGCGUCGACGGCCCUUGACUGCCUCUGUUUUAGGACUGAGGUCGUUGCCUAAAGUCGGGAGCAACUGGGAGCGUGUAGUGACCAUUUCAUUGCCAUUCCUGUUCAUGAACAAGUAGAGGCCCAGGC